This 364-nucleotide ribosomal RNA is filed under the name Staphylococcus aureus. RNAcentral's name for it is "bacterial SSU rRNA". It matches the Rfam family "Bacterial small subunit ribosomal RNA", at positions 1178 to 1533 of the family's 1533-position model. Lineage: Bacteria; Bacillati; Bacillota; Bacilli; Caryophanales; Staphylococcaceae. The record is from RNAcentral.
GAUGACGUCAAAUCAUCAUGCCCCUUAUGAUUUGGGCUACACACGUGCUACAAUGGACAAUACAAAGGGCAGCGAAACCGCGAGGUCAAGCAAAUCCCAUAAAGUUGUUCUCAGUUCGGAUUGUAGUCUGCAACUCGACUACAUGAAGCUGGAAUCGCUAGUAAUCGUAGAUCAGCAUGCUACGGUGAAUACGUUCCCGGGUCUUGUACACACCGCCCGUCACACCACGAGAGUUUGUAACACCCGAAGCCGGUGGAGUAACCUUUUAGGAGCUAGCCGUCGAAGGUGGGACAAAUGAUUGGGGUGAAGUCGUAACAAGGUAGCCGUAUCGGAAGGUGCGGCUGGAUCACCUCCUUUCUAAGGA